GGGGUUGUGGCUCAGCAGUAGAGCGCUUGCCUAGCAUGCAUGAGGCACUGGGUUCGAUCCUCAGCACCACA
RNAcentral lists this transfer RNA (71 nucleotides) under Marmota monax (woodchuck). Its description in RNAcentral is "tRNA.Ala". It matches the Rfam family "tRNA". From Rfam's summary of the family: Transfer RNA (tRNA) molecules are approximately 80 nucleotides in length. Their secondary structure includes four short double-helical elements and three loops (D, anti-codon, and T loops). Lineage: Eukaryota; Metazoa; Chordata; Mammalia; Rodentia; Sciuridae. The record is from RNAcentral.